CGCCAGUCUCCUACGGGAGGCAGCAGUGAGGAAUAUUGGUCAAUGGCCGUAAGGCUGAACCAGCCAAGUAGCGUGAGGGAAGACUGCCCUAUGGGUUGUAAACCUCUUUUAUGCGGGGAUAAAGGUGUCCACGUGUGGAUGUUUGCAGGUACCGCAUGAAUAAGGACCGGCUAAUUCCGUGCCAGCAGCCGCGGUAAUACGGAAGGUCCGGGCGUUAUCCGGAUUUAUUGGGUUUAAAGGGAGCGUAGAUGGGUUGUUAAGUCAGUUGUGAAAAGUUGCGGCUCAACCGUAAAAUUGCAAUUGAUACUGGCAGUCUUGAGUUCAGUUGAGGUAGGCGGAAUUCGUGGUGGAGCGGUGAAAUGCUUAGAUAUCACGAAGAACCCCGAUUGGGAAGGCAGCCUGCCGCAGCGUUACUGACGCUGAAGCUCGAAGGCGCGGGUAUCGAACAGGAUUAGAUACCCUUGUAC
RNAcentral lists this ribosomal RNA (467 nucleotides) under uncultured bacterium. Its description in RNAcentral is "bacterial SSU rRNA". It matches the Rfam family "Bacterial small subunit ribosomal RNA", at positions 329 to 793 of the family's 1533-position model. The record is from RNAcentral.